UUCGGCUAGGGGGCCAUCCCGGCUUACCAACCCGAUGCAAACUGCGAAUACCGGAGAAUGUUAUCACGGGAGACACACGGCGGGUGCUAACGUCCGUCGUGAAGAGGGAAACAACCCAGACCGCCAGCUAAGGUCCCAAAGUCAUGGUUAAGUGGGAAACGAUGUGGGAAGGCCCAGACAGCCAGGAUGUUGGCUUAGAAGCAGCCAUCAUUUAAAGAAAGCGUAAUAGCUCACUGGUCGAGUCGGCCUGCGCGGAAGAUGUAACGGGGCUAAACCAUGCACCGAAGCUGCGGCAGCGACGCUGAUGCGUUGUUGGGUAGGGGAGCGUUCUGUAAGCCUGCGAAGGUGUGUCGUGAGGCAUGCUGGAGGUAUCAGAAGUGCGAAUGCUGACAUAAGUAACGAUAAAGCGGGUGAAAAGCCCGCUCGCCGGAAGACCAAGGGUUCCUGUCCAACGUUAAUCGGGGCAGGGUGAGUCGACCCCUAAGGCGAGGCCGAAAGGCGUAGUCGAUGGGAAACGGGUUAAUAUUCCCGUACUUGGUGUUACUGCGAAGGGGGGACGGAGAAGGCUAUGUUGGCCGGGCGACGGUUGUCCCGGUUUAAGCGUGUAGGUGUGUGUUCCAGGUAAAUCCGGUUCACUUUAACACUGAGGCGUGAUGACGAGGCACUACGGUGCUGAAGCAACAAAUGCCCUGCUUCCAGGAAAAGCCUCUAAGCAUCAGGUAACAUCAAAUCGUACCCCAAACCGACACAGGUGGUCAGGUAGAGAAUACCAAGGCGCUUGAGAGAACUCGGGUGAAGGAACUAGGCAAAAUGGUGCCGUAACUUCGGGAGAAGGCACGCUGACACGUAGGUGAAGUGAUUUACUCAUGGAGCUGAAGUCAGUCGAAGAUACCAGCUGGCUGCAACUGUUUAUUAAAAACACAGCACUGUGCAAACACGAAAGUGGACGUAUACGGUGUGACGCCUGCCCGGUGCCGGAAGGUUAAUUGAUGGGGUCAGCGCAAGCGAAGCUCCUGAUCGAAGCCCCGGUAAACGGCGGCCGUAACUAUAACGGUCCUAAGGUAGCGAAAUUCCUUGUCGGGUAAGUUCCGACCUGCACGAAUGGCGUAAUGAUGGCCAGGCUGUCUCCACCCGAGACUCAGUGAAAUUGAACUCGCUGUGAAGAUGCAGUGUACCCGCGGCAAGACGGAAAGACCCCGUGAACCUUUACUAUAGCUUGACACUGAACAUUGAGCCUUGAUGUGUAGGAUAGGUGGGAGGCUUUGAAGUGUGGACGCCAGUCUGCAUGGAGCCGGCCUUGAAAUACCACCCUUUAAUGUUUGAUGUUCUAACGUGGACCCGUGAUCCGGGUUGCGGACAGUGUCUGGUGGGUAGUUUGACUGGGGCGGUCUCCUCCUAAAGAGUAACGGAGGAGCACGAAGGUUGGCUAAUCCUGGUCGGACAUCAGGAGGUUAGUGCAAUGGCAUAAGCCAGCUUGACUGCGAGCGUGACGGCGCGAGCAGGUGCGAAAGCAGGUCAUAGUGAUCCGGUGGUUCUGAAUGGAAGGGCCAUCGCUCAACGGAUAAAAGGUACUCCGGGGAUAACAGGCUGAUACCGCCCAAGAGUUCAUAUCGACGGCGGUGUUUGGCACCUCGAUGUCGGCUCAUCACAUCCUGGGGCUGAAGUAGGUCCCAAGGGUAUGGCUGUUCGCCAUUUAAAGUGGUACGCGAGCUGGGUUUAGAACGUCGUGAGACAGUUCGGUCCCUAUCUGCCGUGGGCGCUGGAGAACUGAGGGGGGCUGCUCCUAGUACGAGAGGACCGGAGUGGACGCAUCACUGGUGUUCGGGUUGUCAUGCCAAUGGCACUGCCCGGUAGCUAAAUGCGGAAGAGAUAAGUGCUGAAAGCAUCUAAGCACGAAACUUGCCCCGAGAUGAGUUCUCCCUGAGACUUAGAGUCUCCUGAAGGAACGUUGAAGACGACGACGUUGAUAGGCCGGGUGUGUAAGCGCAGCGAUGCGUUGAGCUAACCGGUACUAAUGAACCGUGAGGCUUAACCUU
Molecule: ribosomal RNA, 2036 nt
Filed under: Salmonella enterica subsp. enterica serovar Johannesburg str. S5-703
Lineage: Bacteria; Pseudomonadati; Pseudomonadota; Gammaproteobacteria; Enterobacterales; Enterobacteriaceae
Description: LSU rRNA
Rfam family: Bacterial large subunit ribosomal RNA
Source: RNAcentral